UAGCUCACCUGGCCCGAAGGGCCAAGUGAGCUAUUCCCAUCACUUUGCGUCCGGCGUCCGUCGUCGUCGUCGUCGUCCGUCGUCCGUCGUCGUCCGUCGUCGUCCGUCGUCGUUAACUUUUACAAAAAUCUUCUCCUCUGAAACUACUGGGCCAAAUCAAACCAAACUUGGCCACAAUCAUCAUUGGGGUAUCUAGUUUAAAAAAUGUGUGGCGUGACCCGGUCAACCAACCAAGAUGGCCGCCACGGCUAAAAAUAGAACAUAGGGGUAAAAUGCAGUUUUUGGCUUAUAACUCAGAAACCAAAGCAUUUAGAGCAAAUCUGACAUGGGGUAAAAAUGUUUAUCAGGUCAAGAUCUAUCUGCCCUGAAAUUUUCAGAUGAAUCAGUCAAUCGGUUGUUGGGUUGCUGCCCCUGAAUUGGUAAUUUUGAGGAAAUUUUGCUGUUUUUGGUUAUUAUCUUGAAUAUUAUUAUAGAUAGAGAUAAACUGUAAACAGCAAUAAUGUUCAGCAAAGUAAGAUCUACAAAUAAGUCAACAUGACCAAAAUGGUCAGUUGACCCGUUUAGGAGUUAUUGCCCUUUAUAGUCAAUUUUUAACCAUUUUUCGUAAAUUAAAGUAAUCUUUUACAAAAAUCUUCUCCUCUGAAACUACUGGGCCAAAUUAAUUCAAACUUGGCCACAAUCAUCUUUGGGGUAUCUAGUUUAAAAAAUGUGUGGCGUGACCUGGUCAACCAACCAAGAUGGCCGCCACCGCUAAAAAUAGAACAUAGGGGUAAAAUGCAGUUUUUGGCUUAUAACUCAAAAACCAAAGCAUUUUGAGGAAAUCUGACAUGGGAUAAAAAUGUUUAUCAGGUCAAGAUCUAUCUGCCCUGAAAUUUUCAGAUGAAUCGGUCAAUCGGUUGUUGGGUUGCUGCCCCUGAAUUGGUAAUUUUGAGGAAAUUUUGCUGUUUUUGGUUAUUAUCUUGAAUAUUAUUAUAGAUAGAGAUAAAUUGUAAACAGCAAUAAUGUUCAGCAAAGUAAGAUCUACAAAUAAGUCAACAUGACCAAAAUGGUCAGUUGACCCCUUUAGGAGUUAUUGCCCUUUAUAGUCAAUCUUUAACCAUUUUUCAUAAAUCUAAGUAAUCUUUUACAAAAUCUCCACUGAAACUACUAGGCCACAAUCAUCUUUGGGGUAUCUAGUUUGAAAAAUGUGUCCGAUGACCUGGCCAUUCAACCAAGAUGGCCGCCACGGCUAAAAAUAGAACAUAGGGGUAAAAUGCAGUUUUUGGCUUAUAACUAUGAAACCAAAGCAUCUAGAGCAAAUCUGACAAGAAGUUAAAUUGUUAAUCAAGUCAAUAUCUAUCUGCCCUGAAUUUUUCAGAUGAAUUGGACAACUGGUUGUUGGGUUGCUGCCCUCCAAUUGGUAAUUUUUAAAGAAGUUUUGCCGUUUUUGGUUAUCUUGAAUACUAUUAUAGAUAGCGAUAAACUGUAAACAGCAAUAAUGUUCAGCAAAGUAAGAUCUACAAAUAAGUCAACAUGACCUAAAUGGUCAAUUGACCCCUUAAGGAGUUAUUGCCCUUUAUAGUCAAUUUUUAACAAUUUUCAUUAAUUUGGUAAAUUUAUGUAAAUUUUUACCAAAUAUAGUCUUCUGUUACUAAUGGGCAAAGUUCAUUAUAGAUAUAAUUGUAAGAAGCAAAAUCGUUCAGUAAAGUAAGAACUUCAAACACAUCACCAUCACCAAAAUACAAUUUUGUCAUGAAUCCAUUUGUGUCCUUUGUUUAAUAUGCACAUAGACCAAGGUGAGCGACACAGGCUCUUUAGAGCCUCUAGUUUCUUUCUCGAUAGAAGGUUAUUUUUGAAGAAAUAAAUGCCACAGAAUUGUUUAUUUGAUUAUAAGCUGAAAAUUUUAUUAAAGUUUGUAAAGAUGAAAUACAUAUUAAACCAGUCUGCAGUGAAAGGGUAACAUAUUAUAUCAGUCUGCAGUGUGAGUGAUGUAUGUUAAACUAGUCUGGAGUGGUAGGUUAGUUAGUUAAUCUAGUUAUGUAAACCAGUUUAGAGUGGUAGUUUGUUAGAAUAUUCUACAGUGGUGGGAUAGCUUGUUAAACCACUCUGCAGUGGUAGCAUAGUUUGUUAAACCAGUUUGGAGUGGUAGUUUAGUGUGUUAGAAAGUCUGCAGUGGUGGGAUAGCUUGUUAAACCAGUCUGCAGUGGUAGCAUGUUAAACCAGUCUACAGUGGUAGCAUUGUUUGUUAAACCAGUCUGCAGUGGUAGCAUAGUUUGUUAAACCAGUCUGCAGUGGUAGCAUAGUUUGUUAAACCAGUUUGGAGUGGUAGUUUAGUGUGUUAGAAUAGUCUGCAGUGGUAGUAAUAUAGAUUUUCAAACCAGUCUGGAGUGGUAGUUUAGGUCGUUAAACCAGUUUGUUGUGAUAGUGAACUUGCCUAACCAGGAUACAAUGUAAGUGCUUUAUGUUAAAUAGUCUGCAAUGGUAAAUGAAGUAUGUAAAGUAUUAUAGAAUGGUAGCGGAACAAGUUAAAAAAAGAUGUAUGUGGUGGUUAUUUGGUAAUGAACUAUAAUGUUCCAGUCUGCAGUGCAUGUAUGUAAGGUAAACAAGUCUUGGACGAGAGUGUGGUACAAUGUGCAGUGGAAGAUAAGUGUGUUAAAUUGAUGUAAAUGCUGUAUAAUCUAUCGUUCUGUUUAAUAAAAAGGUUAGCAGCAUGUGUGUAUGAUCAGUUAAGAGUUAGAAUAAGAAAAUAACUUAAAAAUAAAUUUGGCAGUCUUUAGUAAAUUACUUAAUUCUGACACAUAACAAACUCAUUUAUAUGCACCCGUGUUUGAGUAUAAAAAAAGUGAGGAGUAAAUGGUUAAUGGUACAUGUAAUUCAUACGAAAAUAUGUUAAUACUCCAAUAAAUUAGACAGAAAUAUUACAUUAAAAUUGAACAAUAAUAGUUUAAACCAGAUCAUAACCUUUAAAUUUAAUAUUUGUCAACUAAAUGGAAUUUGCACAGAGGCUGACCUGGAUGGUAAUAUUCAAUAUUUGUCAUAACCUUUUUGGUGGCAAUGAGCCUUUAACCAUCCCAGCGAAUAGUUGUGUUGGCCAUGAAAAUAUGAAAGCAGUUUUAAGUAUUAUAAGAAGACCCAAAAAAAUGCAGAAUAUAUUAUAACACAUAUGCAUACUGCCUGAACCUUUCAGUUGUGAAAAAGAUGAAUCAUGUUUGCUUGUUUUUGUAUUUUUUGUAAAUUUUUUUAGAUUUUGACUGUUAUUUAAAUGUAUUAUACUUGUAAAUAUUGUAUAUAUUAAAUUAUAUUAUUGCACAGUAUUAUAGAUUAAUUUUUAUAUAACAUAUUUAUUAAUUUAAUCAAAACAAAUUGUGAUAAUCCUUUUUAUGCAUUUUAUACUGACUUGUUAUGCAAUUUGCUGAAUUAUUUAUAUUAUGUGAAUUUGUGUUCGUCAUGAUCAUGUAUUUUGUAAAUUGUUACCGUCUCAGGAAGAAAUGCCUGCCCCAUUCAGAGUUCCAAAUAAAAAAAAUAUCUAUGAAUACUCAAUCAAAAUGGUAAAAUGUGAGAUUUUAAACAUAACGGUGCCAUGGUUACCCCUACUAGUCAAUUAACUCUUGCCAAGAAUUUUUAAGUUUCCCGCAGAUGAAUAGAAACACUUUUAAAUAAAUGCUCUGAAUCCUGAACUUUUUACAAAAUACAUAAAAUCACUUGGUGCACAUUGUUUUGCUGUGGUUUGAGGUGCAAUAAUACACAAUUGUGAAUUUUAUAUGUGUUUUAUCAACAUCCCUGUUUCAGUAUUAUGUUUUUUACUUGUGUGUGUUUUAAAUGAUUUUAUCUAAUAUAUUUAUACAUUUUGAUAAUUUUAAUAUAUUAUAAAACAUUAUUUAUUUUAUACUAUCAUUCCUGUGGUGUUCAUUUUACUGGUAGAUUUAGCUGUAUUGAAAGAGUGGAUUUUUUAGAAGAGAUUUUAUUUUAUUGUAUAUUUUUUAUUGGAAUGUUAUAAAAAUAAGCAAAACAAAUAUUUAAAAAUUAUUUGUGUUUUAACUUUGAUCUUAAGGAAGACUGAAAGCUGUAAAUUCAGUGAACUUUUUUUUUCUUCAGAUUUCUUAAAUUUCAUUUUUGGAUUGUUACUUUAUAAUGUUGUUUACUUCAAUACAGAGGAAGGAUUGUAUUUUUUUUUUUAAAUAAUAUUUAAUUUUAUUUUCAUAAAAAAUCAUUGAGGUUUUGUAAGUUUACAUUUUAACUGAUUUUGAGUGUUCAAUGUCUUGUUUUGAAAUAAAAUUGUUUUUACUGUUUUUAAA
Molecule: long non-coding RNA, 4274 nt
Organism: Mytilus trossulus (common blue mussel)
Lineage: Eukaryota; Metazoa; Mollusca; Bivalvia; Mytilida; Mytilidae
Exons: 2
Source: RefSeq, a predicted model, not a curated record